Molecule: small nuclear RNA, 94 nt
Organism: Tupaia belangeri (northern tree shrew)
Lineage: Eukaryota; Metazoa; Chordata; Mammalia; Scandentia; Tupaiidae
Source: Ensembl
GUGCUUGUUUUAGUAGUACAUUUACUAAAAUUGAAAUGAUACAGAGAAGAAUAACAAGAAUGACACUUAAAUUUAUGAAGCAUUCUACAUCUUG